RNAcentral lists this long non-coding RNA (1212 nucleotides) under Cricetulus griseus (Chinese hamster). RNAcentral describes it as "lncRNA (ENSCGRG00000025162.1)". The record is from RNAcentral. Lineage: Eukaryota; Metazoa; Chordata; Mammalia; Rodentia; Cricetidae.
CAGUAAUACCGCCAACACUCUGGGGAAAAAGUCAAUAUCAAAACUGAAACAAAGCCCUGUGUUGUGAAGCAGUUUAGUAACAGGAAUUUGGAAGAGAGCAUGUGAGCUCACUUCAUAGUAAAACAGGUCCUGCAAGGCCAGGUAACUCAGGAAGCAGAAUGGUAAUUAUUCACAGAAGAAAGCCGGUAGUGUACUGUUACAAUACUACUGUAGCAAGUCAGAAGGUCACAAGGCUUGCAGGGUAGCUGACACAACUCGAAACUGCUGGGCCCCCUUCACAAAGAAAGAAUAAGAUGGGAGAGAAUGGAGCUGGUUUACCUAACACCUCUUUGCAAGGUAAAAAGAUGGCUUAUCAGAAGGUCAAUGCAGAUUUAAGAACCCCAGGACACUCACAGUACUUAGACAAUGAUGACAUCCAAGCCAUAGCACUUGAUUUAGAGUAGGAUAUGGAGAAGGAACUGGAAGAGCCUGCCUUUGACCAGUUCCAACCAGAUAAUGCUGAGACUCAGAACUUGGGGCAGNNNNNNNNNNNNNNNNNNNNNNNNNNNNNNNNNNNNNNNNNNNNNNNNNNNNNNNNNAGCAACCAUUAGAACUUUUGCUACCUUUUAAAAUUAAUUUGCACAGCCACCAUUCUAUUUAUUUUUGGAAUUCUAAUAGGUUAUUAUGCACACACGAAUUGCCCUCCUGACGCCACACCAUCAAGAUCAAUUGACCCUCAUUUAUACCAGGAUAUUCUCAACACAAUCAAAGCAGAAGAUAUUAAGAAAUCCUUCAGAAAUUUGGUAAAACUCUAUAAAAGUGAAGAUGACAUGGAAAUUUCAAAGAAGAUUAAGACUCACUGGACAGCAUUGGGCUUGGAAGAUACACAGAUUCUGAACUACUCAGUGUUGCUGGAUUUCCCUGGGCCCUCUCCAAGCACCAUCACUGUGAGCAGCACUGGCCAGUGCUUUUAUCCUGAUGGCCAACCUUGCAGGGAAGAAGCCAGAAAAGGCCAUAGCCAAGAUCUGCUCUCAUCAUAUGCAGCCUAUUCUGCCAAAGGAACUCUCCAGGCUGAUGUCAUCGAUGUGAGUUAUGGAACUACAGAUGAUUUUAAAAGGAUUACAAAAUUAAAAAAUACAACAAAUCAAAUUGCACUGCUAAAAUUAGGAAAAUUACCACUGCUCUAUAAGGCAUGAAGACAUGAUUUCAAAUUGCCAGCAUCCAUAUAAAAUG